GACGAACGCUGGCGGCGUGCUUAACACAUGCAAGUCGAACGGAGUUCCUUGGAUAGAGGCUUCGGCCAAUUGAAAUGGAACUUAGUGGCGGACUGGUGAGUAACGCGUGAGGAACCUGCCUUUCAGAGGGGGACAACAGUUGGAAACGACUGCUAAUACCGCGUACGACCUUUGGGUGGCAUCACCUGGGGGUGAAAGCAGCAAUGCACCGAUAGAGUGCCUCGCGGCCUAUCAGCUAGUUGGUGGGGUAAUGGCUCACCAAGGCGACGACGGGUAGCUGGUCUGAGAGGAUGACCAGCCACAUUGGGACUGAGACACGGCCCAGACUCCUACGGGAGGCAGCAGUGGGGAAUAUUGCGCAAUGGGCGAAAGCCUGACGCAGCGACGCCGCGUGUGGGAUGACGGUCUUCGGAUUGUAAACCACUGUCGGGAGGGACGAAGCUCUGACGGUACCUCCAAAGGAAGCACCGGCUAACUCUGUGCCAGCAG
RNAcentral lists this ribosomal RNA (489 nucleotides) under uncultured bacterium. Its description in RNAcentral is "bacterial SSU rRNA". It matches the Rfam family "Bacterial small subunit ribosomal RNA", at positions 28 to 514 of the family's 1533-position model. The record is from RNAcentral.